Molecule: long non-coding RNA, 694 nt
Organism: Cervus elaphus (red deer)
Lineage: Eukaryota; Metazoa; Chordata; Mammalia; Artiodactyla; Cervidae
Exons: 3
Source: RefSeq, a predicted model, not a curated record
GGUAAUAGUCCUUAGCAGUUAGAUGGUACUUUCUCCUCCAAACAGCGCUGUCAGUCACCUUGUCUCCUGUGACUCUAACAGAAACUCUCUGAGUUAAGAAAGUCACCGUUCCUGCUCUAAAAGGAGGGAAACUGAGGGUCACCUGUGGUCACGCAGGGAUAUGGAGUGUGAAGGUCAGGAGUGGAAGAUGACAACACCAAGGCGCCUGGCCUGAGAAGCUAAAGGAUGAACUGGCAUUAACUGAAAUGGGGAAGACCAUGAAUGGAACAGACUGGGGGGCCAGCUGAGUGGAGCCCCCUCCAGGAAGCCGAGCAGCUGCACCCGCGUCAGCACUUCCUUCCUGCGGCCCACCACCCCUCCCGGACCCCACAUCAGCAAGCGGCCCUACGGAAGUACCUUUACUUAUGGAAUCUGCUGCGGGUAAUUCUCAACCAGUCUGGGUCAGCGAGUCUGCUCAGUCAUGGACUUCGUUUCUAGGAAACUGCUGGUCCUGAGAUAUGACUACAAAGUACAACUGAAUUUUGUUUAAAACCCCACCAACAAACAUAUAAACAGAUACAACCCCCGCUUGGAGACCCAGUGGGCAGUAUGAGUUGAAGCACAGCCCACCCCAUGACCAGGGCUGGGCUACAAAGUACUUACUAACUGGCUCUGGGAGCGUAGUUCCAUCAUGACUAUUGUUUGAUAUUUCUUC